UACGUAGGGUGCGAGCGUUGUCCGGAAUUAUUGGGCGUAAAGGGCUCGUAGGCGGUUUGUCGCGUCGGGAGUGAAAACACUGGGCUUAACCGAGUGCUUGCUUUCGAUACGGGCAGACUUGAGGCAUUGAGGGGAGAACGGAAUUCCUGGUGUAGCGGUGAAAUGCGCAGAUAUCAGGAGGAACACCCGUGGCGAAGGCGGCUCUCUGGGACGGUACUGACGCUGAGACGCGAAAGCGUGGGGAGCGAACAGG
This 253-nucleotide ribosomal RNA is filed under the name uncultured bacterium. RNAcentral's name for it is "partial 16S ribosomal RNA". It matches the Rfam family "Bacterial small subunit ribosomal RNA", at positions 524 to 776 of the family's 1533-position model. The record is from RNAcentral.